UACAGAGGGUGCGAGCGUUAAUCGGAAUUACUGGGCGUAAAGCGCACGUAGUCGGCUUUGCAAGUCGGGUGUGAAAUCCCCGGGCUCAACCUGGGAGCUGCAUCCGAGACUGCAUUGCUAGAGUAUGGGAGAGGGAAGCGGAAUUUCUGGUGUAGCAGUGAAAUGCGUAGAUAUCAGAAGGAACAUCAGUGGCGAAGGCGGCUUCCUGGACCAAUACUGACGAUCAGGUGCGAAAGCGUGGGGAGCAAACAGG
Molecule: ribosomal RNA, 253 nt
Filed under: uncultured bacterium
Lineage: Bacteria
Description: partial 16S ribosomal RNA
Rfam family: Bacterial small subunit ribosomal RNA
Source: RNAcentral